RNAcentral lists this ribosomal RNA (253 nucleotides) under uncultured bacterium. RNAcentral describes it as "partial 16S ribosomal RNA". It matches the Rfam family "Bacterial small subunit ribosomal RNA", at positions 524 to 776 of the family's 1533-position model. The record is from RNAcentral.
UACGUAGGUGGCGAGCGUUGUCCGGAGUUACUGGGCGUAAAGCGCGCGCAGGCGGCCCUGUGCGCUGCCGGUGAAAGCUCCCGGCUUACCUGGGAGAGGUUCGGCAGGACGGCAGGGCUGGAGGGUGGGAGAGGUCGGUGGAAUUCCCGGUGUAGUGGUGAAAUGCGUAGAGAUCGGGAGGAACACCCGUAGCGAAGGCGGCCGACUGGACCACACCUGACGCUGAGGCGCGAAGGCCAGGGGAGCGAACGGG